AAGCCAUAUUGAAUAAAAGAGCUGGGUUUAUAACUACAAAAAAGUUUUGUUUCAGUGUUGGGUGGGUUUAUGGAAGAGAAAGAGUAAAGCAUCUGUCAGAAGCAAUUUGUAUGUAAAUUAAAAUGUAACUCAUAAAUAUCAUAAAUUUAUAUUAUGCUUAACAUUUUCUGGUUUCAUUUAUUUUGUUAUUGUGCUUUUCAAAAUAACAAUUUAGGGUGUUUGGAAAAACAAUUAGAGAAACCGUGUAACCUGGAUUAGAAUGGGGAGAGAUGAUUUUUUUAAAGGAAAACAAAGGUGCGUUUUAUAUGAAUUAUUUCCGUUUCCCAUGGCGAAUCAAAACCUGGGCAGUGUGAGAGCACUGUCCCCUCAGGAAUGAGAGCCUCGGGCCAGGAGUCCGGGUCCAACUCAGAGGUCUGAGUUUAGAUCUGGAAAAAGAGUGGAGUGCAGUGGUUAGGGAUGUAGCUACUUAAUCAUGCUGGGCCUCGGGUCCUUAUCUGUAGAAGAGGAAUGUAGUCACAGUGCCACCCAUGGGGCUUUGUGGGUGAUGGCACAAGCUGCUAGGACAGGGCUGCAACAGAGAGGGGGCACAGUACACAUUAGCAUCUCUGUCACCAUCACGUCAUCCUGGUUUUGCCUUAAAACUGGUGUCGAGUUUUGCCCAAACCUCUAACCCCUCUCUGUACUCUGAAGAUUGUUAUUAGUCAACACCCUUUCAGAGCGAAGGGGUGCAAACUUAUAUAUCUGGGGUGGGAGGAAUGACAGAAACCUAAGUAAGCUAUUGACCGUAUUCUUCCUCGAACGAAUAACCACUCUUGAUAAGUGAGUUAGCGAUGUGUUGUUAGCAGACUUAUGAUUUGUAAAAAUAUAGUCAAAACUCUGACACUGGUGAGUCUAGGAGAGAAAUGAGAAAGAGAAAUACUUCUGGCAUGUGAACUUGGAAAGUCAAGGCUAGUGCAAAUACUGGUGAUAUUUAAUCAUGAUGCUCAGCGUGUCUGUACCUUGCUAAUGAUGUUAAACCAUGAAGCCUGUGAGAUCUUGUGUUGCAGUGUGGUUUGGCCCUAGAACUCUUGCAUGCUAACCCAAAGUAGAAGAUUAGCCUGUUGCAUGCAGCCGGAUGCUGCCCCUGACGAGACAAGCAUGUUGUGGAGGUUGACGCAACUCAACCUCCAUUGGCUGAGUUCCUCCCCAGUCCUGUGUGUGGCCUCAUUCACUGUGAUAUUAGGUUGAAAAAGCUUGUUGAUGAACGGGAAUGCUUAUUGGAACAGGUAACAAUCUUUUUAUUACUUUUAUGAGUUCCCUAACUGGGCACCAGAAACCAUGAACUUUCCCUUCCUUACUUCUUGCUUCAUCGAGACACCCCUAACACAUCAUGCCUGUAAAGGACUAUCAAGCCAACUGGCACUCUUAAUAUUUUUAUCGAAGUAGAAAAUCAGAAGUCACAUGACGUUUGGAGAGGAUGUCUCAAAGACUCAAGGCCAUGGAACUGAAUUUGCUACACUCUCCAUGAUUUGCUACUUAAAUAUUUAUGUAGAAGGCCUGGAUUAACCAUUGAGAGGCAAGGAAGUUGGAGUCAUUCCAGACAUCACUCCUCUUGCUUCUACUGGCCUGUCAAAGUCAGCUUUGUAAUCUCUCAGUGAUCAGCACCCGUUUCCGGAAGAUAAUUUCUUCGUUUUAGCUGAUCAAAGUCGUUUCAACUGUGGUCCCUCACACUUUUCUACCUCAAGAAAUACUAAACAGUUGUCCUAUUUGGUCUUUCUUGCAUGCAGGGCUGUUAUUAAAUCAUUCCACAGUCACUUUGGAAGGGAAAUCAAUUCUUCCCAUUUUCCCUCACAAGUCCUAAUCAAAGGUAUUUGCCUUACUUUUUACAAUUCCAUUGAAGAUUUCUCUCAAAAUGGGGGAAGGUACCAAAUUGUGGUGGGAGGAUUCUUUUGAAGUUCCUGCGACCUUUUACAAACAGUAUCCAUGGCAAUUCUGUGCUUAUUUUCUUAAAGCAGCAUGCACCAAUGGUUGUAUGUGCUUGGGGGCCUGCUCUGCUUGUCUCAGUGUGUGUCGGGACUUCCAACGAGUCCACAGAGAUUGAAGGUUAACAGGAAAAGGGCUGGGAGACUCCCCGUUAUACACCAAAAAAUUCUACAGUCGUGGCUGUUGACUGCAGUUCCAACUACACGUGUCUCUCUCCCAUGGAGAGAGGAAAGCUGCGUCAAGGCCAGCUCCCUGCACUGGCAAACCUGGACUUGAUCGGGUUCUCUGAGGGAGCACAGGGCUCUGCUGGGAACCCCAUUACAGUCCUUUUGUGUCUGGAAGGCUCCAAAUGGCCCUUCCUGGCUCCUUAGUAAAGAAAGCAAGGUUCAUAACACACUGACUUGCUAACUCUUAAACAUUCAAACUAUUUUAUGCACAAUCUCCUCCUGAAUACAAGAGGAAUUUCAACCUUAGCGAUAACUUUUCAGCCAGACUUACAAAAUAAUUC
Molecule: long non-coding RNA, 2470 nt
Filed under: Equus caballus (horse)
Lineage: Eukaryota; Metazoa; Chordata; Mammalia; Perissodactyla; Equidae
Description: lncRNA (ENSECAG00000049235.1)
Source: RNAcentral